Molecule: ribosomal RNA, 376 nt
Filed under: uncultured bacterium
Lineage: Bacteria
Description: bacterial SSU rRNA
Rfam family: Bacterial small subunit ribosomal RNA
Source: RNAcentral
UACGAAGGGUGCAAGCGUUACUCGGAAUUACUGGGCGUAAAGGGUGCGUAGGUGGUUUUUUAAGUCCGUUGUGAAAUCCCUGGGCUCAACCUGGGAAUGGCAGUGGAUACUGGAAAGCUAGAGUGCGGUAGAGGGUAGUGGAAUUCCCGGUGUAGCAGUGAAAUGCGUAGAGAUCGGGAGGAACACCAGUGGCGAAGGCGGCUACCUGGACCAGCACUGACACUGAGGCACGAAAGCGUGGGGAGCAAACAGGAUUAGAUACCCUGGUAGUCCACGCCCUAAACGAUGCGAACUGGAGGUUGGGUGCAACUUGGCACUCAGUCUCGAAGCUAACGCGUUAAGUUCGCCGCCUGGGGAGUACGGUCGCAAGACUGAA